GAAGGUAUAGUUCAGGGGUAGAGUAUGUGCUUACCGUGCACAAGGUCCUGGGUUCAAUCCCUGGUACCUCCA
RNAcentral lists this transfer RNA (72 nucleotides) under Camelus bactrianus (Bactrian camel). It matches the Rfam family "tRNA". From Rfam's summary of the family: Transfer RNA (tRNA) molecules are approximately 80 nucleotides in length. Their secondary structure includes four short double-helical elements and three loops (D, anti-codon, and T loops). Further hydrogen bonds mediate the characteristic L-shaped molecular structure. tRNAs have two regions of fundamental functional importance: the anti-codon, which is responsible for specific mRNA codon recognition, and the 3' end, to which the tRNAs corresponding amino acid is attached (by aminoacyl-tRNA synthetases). tRNAs cope with the degeneracy of the genetic code in two manners: having more than one tRNA (with a specific anti-codon) for a particular amino acid; and 'wobble' base-pairing, i.e. permitting non-standard base-pairing at the 3rd anti-codon position. RNAcentral also lists the same sequence under 3 other names. The record is from Rfam by way of RNAcentral. Lineage: Eukaryota; Metazoa; Chordata; Mammalia; Artiodactyla; Camelidae.